RNAcentral lists this ribosomal RNA (253 nucleotides) under uncultured bacterium. RNAcentral's name for it is "partial 16S ribosomal RNA". It matches the Rfam family "Bacterial small subunit ribosomal RNA", at positions 524 to 776 of the family's 1533-position model. The record is from RNAcentral.
UACGUAGGCGGCAAGCGUUGUUCGGAAUUAUUGGGCGUAAAGCGAACGUAGGCGGUUUCUUAAGUUUGGUCUUAAAGACCGGGGCUCAACCCCGGGAAUGGAUCGAAAACUGGGAGACUGGAGGAUGUCAGAGGAAAGUGGAAUUCCGAGUGUAGCGGUGAAAUGCGUAGAUAUUCGGAGGAACACCAGUGGCGAAAGCGACUUUCUGGGGCAUUCCUGACGCUGAGGUUCGAAAGCGCGGGGAGCAAACAGG